AAAAUCCUGCGAUGUACGUUUCGAUUCUCCUAUUGUUUUGAACCAAUGGAUUGUUUCUAGGGAGCUCUACAUUGCACGCCAGGCUGACACGCCCUCAAAAGGGGACUUCAAAACGGCGGCUGCGAGCACCCACCUGCGAGAGCGGGUUUGAAACAAGGGAAUCGGACGGCAUAUGCGGGUUUUUU
Molecule: non-coding RNA, 185 nt
Filed under: Paenibacillus flagellatus
Lineage: Bacteria; Bacillati; Bacillota; Bacilli; Caryophanales; Paenibacillaceae
Description: 6S / SsrS RNA
Rfam family: 6S / SsrS RNA
About the family: E. coli 6S RNA was the first non coding RNA to be sequenced, but its function was unknown until recently. It consists of 184 nucleotides that fold into an extended hairpin structure with a large single-stranded internal bulge. The 6S RNA specifically associates with RNA polymerase holoenzyme containing the sigma70 specificity factor.
Source: Rfam by way of RNAcentral